UACAGAGGUCCCAAGCGUUGUUCGGAAUUAUUGGGCGUAAAGGGUGCGUAGGCGGUUUGGUAAGUCUGAUGUGAAAUCUAUGGGCUCAACUCAUAGUCUGCAUCGGAAACUGCCGGGCUUGAGUGUGGGAGAGGUGAGUGGAAUUCCUGGUGUAGCGGUGAAAUGCGUAGAUAUCAGGAGGAACACCUGUGGCGAAAGCGGCUCACUGGACCAUAACUGACGCUGAUGCACGAAAGCUAGGGGAGCAAACAGG
This 253-nucleotide ribosomal RNA is filed under the name uncultured bacterium. RNAcentral describes it as "partial 16S ribosomal RNA". It matches the Rfam family "Bacterial small subunit ribosomal RNA", at positions 524 to 776 of the family's 1533-position model. The record is from RNAcentral.